GCCCUGGUGGCAGAAUGGUUAAGCGUUUGACUGCUAAUCAAAAGAUCGGUGGUUCGAACCCAUACAAUGGUU
RNAcentral lists this transfer RNA (72 nucleotides) under Loxodonta africana (African savanna elephant). It matches the Rfam family "tRNA". Rfam says of the family: Transfer RNA (tRNA) molecules are approximately 80 nucleotides in length. Their secondary structure includes four short double-helical elements and three loops (D, anti-codon, and T loops). The record is from Rfam by way of RNAcentral. Lineage: Eukaryota; Metazoa; Chordata; Mammalia; Proboscidea; Elephantidae.